AUUGAACGCUGGCGGCAGGCUUAACACAUGCAAGUCGAGCGAGCGGCGGACGGGUGAGUAAUGUAUGGGGAACUGCCUGAUAGAGGGGGAUAACUACUGGAAACGGUGGCUAAUACCGCAUACCAUCGGAUGUACCCAUAUGGGAUUAGCUAGUAGGUGGGGUAAAGGCUCACCUAGGCUACGAUCUCUAGCUGGUCUGAGAGGAUGAUCAGCCACCCUGGAACUUAGACACGGCCCAGACUCCUGCGUGAGGCAGCAGUGGGGAAUAUUGCACAAUGGGCGCAAGACUGAUGCAGCCAUGCCGCGUGUAUGAAGAAGGCCUGAGGGUUGUAAAGUACUUUCAGCGAGGAGGCGUUACUCGCAGAAGAAGCACCGGCUAACUCCGUGCCAGCAGCCGAGGUAAUUC
This 406-nucleotide ribosomal RNA is filed under the name uncultured bacterium. Its description in RNAcentral is "partial 16S ribosomal RNA". It matches the Rfam family "Bacterial small subunit ribosomal RNA", at positions 30 to 526 of the family's 1533-position model. The record is from RNAcentral.